UCUGUCUUCUGGCGUGGUAGCGGAGCGUUCCGUAGGCCGGUGAAGGUGAGCCGUGAGGCUUGCUGGAGGUAUCGGAAGUGCGAAUGCUGACAUGAGUAGCGUAAACGAGGGUGAGAAACCCUCGCGCCGAAAGUCCAAGGGUUCCUGCGCAAGGUUAAUCCGCGCAGGGUUAGCCGGUCCCCUAAGGCGAGGGCGAAGGCCGUAGCCGAUGGGAAUGGGGUUAAUAUUCCCCAGCCUGCCGGGGCGCGACGACUGGGAUAAGUGUGUCGUCCCUUAUCGGAUUGGGGCGGCUGCGGACCUAGUCCAGGAAACAGCGCCGGCGAUAUAGACCGUACCCGAAACCGACACUGGUGGACUGGUAGAGCAUACCAGGCGCUUGAGAGAACGGUGUUGAAGGAACUCGGCAAAUUGCCCCCGUAACUUCGGGAGAAGGGGGCCCCGUCUGCGGGCAACCGCGGGCGGGGGGCACAGACGAGGGGGUGGCGACUGUUUACUAAAAACACAGGGCUCUGCGAAGUCGCAAGACGACGUAUAGGGUCUGACGCCUGCCCGGUGCCGGAAGGUUAAGAGGAGGGGUGCAAGCUCCGAAUCGAAGCCCCGGUAAACGGCGGCCGUAACAAUAACGGUCCUAAGGUAGCGAAAUUCCUUGUCGGGUAAGUUCCGACCUGCACGAAGGGCGUAACGACUUCCCCGCUGUCUCCAACACCGGCUCAGCGAAAUUGAAUUCUCCGUGAAGAUGCGGAGUACCCGCGGUCAGACGGAAAGACCCCGUGCACCUUUACUACAGCUUUGCAGUGGUAUUAGGGAUUAUAUGUGUAGGAUAGGUGGGAGCCUUUGAAGCCCUGGCGCCAGUUGGGGUGGAGGCACCCUUGAAAUACCACCCUUAUGGUCUCUGAUAUCUAACCGCGGCCCGUGAACCCGGGUCCGGGACCCUGCAUGGCGGGUAGUUUGACUGGGGCGGUCGCCUCCCAAAGAGUAACGGAGGCGCGCGAUGGUGGGCUCAGGCUGGUCGGAAAUCAGCCUUUGAGUGCAAUGGCAUAAGCCCGCCUGACUGCGAGAGCGACAGCUCGAGCAGAGACGAAAGUUGGCCAUAGUGAUCCGGUGGUCCCGCGUGGAAGGGCCAUCGCUCAACGGAUAAAAGGUACGCCGGGGAUAACAGGCUGAUGACGCCCAAGAGUCCAUAUCGACGGCGUCGUUUGGCACCUCGAUGUCGGCUCAUCACAUCCUGGGGCUGGAGCAGGUCCCAAGGGUAUGGCUGUUCGCCAUUUAAAGUGGUACGUGAGCUGGGUUUAGAACGUCGUGAGACAGUUCGGUCCCUAUCUGCCGUGGGUGUUUGAGACUUGCGAGGCGCUCUCCCUAGUACGAGAGGACCGGGAGGGACGCACCUCUGGUGUACCGGUUGUGGCGCCAGCCGCACCGCCGGGUAGCUACGUGCGGACGGGAUAACCGCUGAAAGCAUCUAAGCGGGAAACCCCCCUCAAAACCAGGUCUCGCUUGAGAGCCGUGGUAGACCACCACGUCGAUAGGCCGGAGGUGGAAGCAGGGCAACCUGCGCAGCUGACCGGUACUAAUCGCUUGA
This 1579-nucleotide ribosomal RNA is filed under the name metagenome. RNAcentral's name for it is "bacterial LSU rRNA". It matches the Rfam family "Bacterial large subunit ribosomal RNA", at positions 1209 to 2912 of the family's 2925-position model. The record is from RNAcentral.